AUGGAGAUGGAAAAUUCCUUGCUGUCAACUCCUGGAGCUAACCUGGGUAGUUUUUCCACUGGGCUUGGAGGGAAAUCUCCCUGCAUUCCCCAGGGGGAAAAACAGGACCCUAUUGGGGAGUCGCAGGAGAGUGUGGAAUCUGAUGAGUCACUGCACACGACCUUGUUUUUAGAUUCCUUCAAUCAGGAGACAAUGGAUGAAAAAGUUGAGAAGGUGGUUGGGGAGGCCAAGACGGCCAAAAAUAAUGAAUACAGAGUGGAGUUUCCUGAUAUGGAGGGGGAUAUUGAAAUGAUCCCUGCUCCUCCCCUGGUCAUUGAAGAAAAUCUUCGGUUCAGUCUGAGGAAUGGACAUAACAAGAUGGAGAGGGUUGACGAAAAGGCCAGGGCAGCUGCAAAAAAGAGAGACAUCGAAGGUACUCCUCGAGUCCCCAACUCUUUUGAUACGCUAUCUAAUCCUGAACUUAUUCUCAGAGCUGUGAAAAUGGGGGUAAACAUCCCAGAUGCUGAUUUUACUAAUGUUGAUAUCAUUAGAGAAUUAGAAAAAUGUAGAAAUGUGGAAAUUGUUAAGGACAAACAGACUCAACCUGAUGUGGGUGGGGGACAUUUGGUAAUUACUAAUGCAAAAGGGGACCAAACUCCUCUUAAUAUGAACUGGGAGGAUAAUAGUGAUGUGGAUAAUGAUAACUUUGUUGUGGUCCGAUCUAGGAAGAAAAGAGAGAGAAAGAUUAAUGUGGUGAUAGCUAGACCUUGCACUAGAAGUCAAAAAGGGAGGGGCUUCCUUGCAAAAUGUUGCCGGUGGAUCUACUCUGCUUCCUAG
RNAcentral lists this ribosomal RNA (816 nucleotides) under Triticum aestivum (bread wheat). RNAcentral describes it as "partial small subunit ribosomal RNA". Lineage: Eukaryota; Viridiplantae; Streptophyta; Magnoliopsida; Poales; Poaceae. The record is from RNAcentral.